Molecule: ribosomal RNA, 468 nt
Filed under: uncultured bacterium
Lineage: Bacteria
Description: partial 16S ribosomal RNA
Rfam family: Bacterial small subunit ribosomal RNA
Source: RNAcentral
GACGAACGCUGGCGGCGUGCUUAACACAUGCAAGUCGAACGGAAAGGCCCUGCUUUUGUGGGGUGCUCGAGUGGCGAACGGGUGAGUAACACGUGAGUAACCUGCCCUUGACUUUGGGAUAACUUCAGGAAACUGGGGCUAAUACCGGAUAGGAGCUCCUGCUGCAUGGGGGGGGUUGGAAAGUUUCGGCGGUUGGGGAUGGACUCGCGGCUUAUCAGCUUGUUGGUGGGGUAGUGGCUUACCAAGGCUUUGACGGGUAGCCGGCCUGAGAGGGUGACCGGCCACAUUGGGACUGAGAUACGGCCCAGACUCCUACGGGAGGCAGCAGUCGGGAAUAUUGCACAAUGGGCGGAAGCCUGAUGCAGCAACGCCGCGUGCGGGAUGACGGCCUUCGGGUUGUAAACCGCUUUCGCCUGUGACGAAGCGUGAGUGACGGUAAUGGGUAAAGAAGCACCGGCUAACUACGUG